Scylla paramamosain (green mud crab) is the source of this 1209-nucleotide long non-coding RNA. RefSeq lists it as uncharacterized. NCBI's taxonomy places the organism in Eukaryota, Metazoa, Arthropoda, Malacostraca, Decapoda, Portunidae. The record is from RefSeq and is a predicted model, not a curated record. The transcript has 5 exons.
UUGGAAUGAAAAGGUGAACUCAGCAGGUGCGGUGUGAGGUCCAGUAGUGCCUGGUGCGUGGGGUGUGGUUUUUUGUUCGCUCGCUAAAGGUGGCGAGGUGAUGUUUUCCAGCAACAGUAGAGAGGCUACAGGCGACCUCCAUGACGCAUCAAGUAUCUAGGGAGCAGAGGCAGCCAAGCAAUCUUGUGCCUGGAAGUACUUCCAUGGCUGAGUUUCUCAAUGACAUCGCAUACUGACAAACAAGGAAUUUAGCCACACGAUGGUGAAUGCCCACAAAGUUGCAUCAACCUGGAAUAAUGAAUAAGCAGGGACAGGAUACAGCCCAUGAAGGAGAAGACUGCUGCUAUAGUUCACUACAUAGUCACUGCCAGACACGCCAUAGAAGGUUAUUCCUGCUGAGUUCCUCGACUUGGAACUGUCAACUGUGGUUCAUGUUUGGCCUCUGUGGGAUCCAGUGAUGUGGAAUGUGCUUUAGCAUGAUUUCAGAAGAUGAUGAUGCAGGUGAGGUCCCAUUCAUGAUGUGUGAGUCAGCCAUGGCCACCUGAGACUGAGCCAGUGGGAAUGACAUGCGAUGACUGGGGUUCUUUCUACUGGUGCCACCACGCCUCAGGACAACAUCUGAACCAACAGUCAUCGUCAGUGAAGAGGUGGAAGAGGAGGAGGAGAGAGGAGAAAGUGGACUCUCUGAUUCAGAAAUGUGAAUGUGAAUGAAGUUGUAUAAACUUCAUCUAGAUCAAAGAUGUGAGGAAACUGUAGGUAAGGUCAGUCUCAGUACAUCUCCCUCAUGAACUGCCAAUCAACGUGGCUCACUCACAAAUGAUGCUACCUACAUAUGUUAUAUUUCACUUUUGUAUAACCAUUGAAGACAGAUAGUAUAGGAUGCAUGCACAUUUCACAACUUUCUCAAAAUUGAGGAUUCCAUUUGUUUUUAGAAAUUUCUACACCACCUGGACUUUCCUCAGAACUCUUCUCUAAGUUUUAUGUGAACAAAAAUUGCCCAAUAUGUAACAUUAAUCCAGGUUUCAAUUUGUAAGUAGUAGCUUUGAAGAAAGAGGCUUUGCAUUCCUAUGUUAUUACUAAAUUAAAAUAGGCCUGUAGUUUAUAUUUUCAAAUAGCAAGGUUAGAGUGCACUCAUGAAAGAUUUUUCUGCAAACUUUUCCUAAUAUGAUGUACGAGUAUCUAUACUACUAUACAUGAAAAUUAUGUUAC